This is a non-coding RNA of Camellia sinensis, 731 nucleotides long. The record is from RefSeq and is a predicted model, not a curated record. Lineage: Eukaryota; Viridiplantae; Streptophyta; Magnoliopsida; Ericales; Theaceae.
CUCUCUCUCUCCAUAUUCAAAUCCUAGAGGGGGUGUUUUUGGCAACUUGAUAAAAAGUGAGUUUUUGACUCUUUAUCAAGUUCUGUCAAAAAAAAAUUAUAAAAAAAAUAUUAAAAAAAAUCAAUUUUUUAUCAAAAAAAAUUACUAAAAAAGUUAAUUUUUUAUCCACUUUUCAAAACACGCCGUGCUCUACGCAUAUAUAUCUAUAGACACAUCUAUUGAGUUAGAGAAAGAGAAAGAGAGAGUGAAGGUAUGGAUGAGGAAGGUGUGUUGUUAUUGAAAGAGGGAGAAAAGAAAGGGGGUGGUUUAGUAACAUGGAGUGUGUUUGGUGAGGAGGUGAAGAGGUUGGGUUGCAUAGCUGCACCCAUGAUGGCUGUGACACUAUCACAGUACUUGUUGCAAGUUGUAUCCAUCAUGAUGGUCGGUCACCUUGGCGAACUUUCUCUCUCUAGCACCGCCAUAGCCAUCUCUCUCUCCAGUGUCACGGGCUUCAGUCUUCUUCUUGUUAUUGUUUGUAUAUUAGUGCUAAACUCACAGUGGGAGGCAUGAGAGUUGCAUGCAUUGAGGUUCCUUUCAAUUGCAACCUGUAUUUAUGUUGAACUGAUUGUGUCAUUUUGUGGGAUUGUCCCAGGAGUAUGGAAUAGUUUUCCAUUUUUUUAAGGGCUUGUAUAACUCUCUCUUUAUUUUUUAUUUUGCUGUUUUAGUGAUGACCACAAAGAAAAAGUAUUCAA